GGUUGCGAUCAUACCAGCACUAAUGCAACCGGAUCCCAUCAGAACUCCGCAGUUAAGCGUGCUUGGGCGAGAGUAGUACUAGGAUGGGUGACCCCCUGGGAAGUCCUCGUGUUGCAACCC
Molecule: ribosomal RNA, 120 nt
Filed under: Helianthus annuus (common sunflower)
Lineage: Eukaryota; Viridiplantae; Streptophyta; Magnoliopsida; Asterales; Asteraceae
Source: RNAcentral